UACCAGCACCCCGAGUGGUCGGGACGUUUAUUGGGCCUAAAGCAUCCGUAGCCGGUUCUACAAGUCCUCCGUUAAAUCCAGCCGCUCAACGGUUGGGCUGCGGAGGAUACUACGUGGCUAGGAGGCGGGAGAGGCAAGCGGUACUCAGUGGGUAGGGGUAAAAUCCUUUGAUCCAUUGAAGACCACCAGUGGCGAAGGCGGCUUGCCAGAACGCGCUCGACGGUGAGGGAUGAAAGCUGGGGGAGCAAACCGG
RNAcentral lists this ribosomal RNA (253 nucleotides) under uncultured bacterium. RNAcentral's name for it is "partial 16S ribosomal RNA". It matches the Rfam family "Archaeal small subunit ribosomal RNA", at positions 474 to 727 of the family's 1478-position model. The record is from RNAcentral.